Non-coding RNA from Ciona intestinalis (vase tunicate), 2140 nucleotides. NCBI's taxonomy places the organism in Eukaryota, Metazoa, Chordata, Ascidiacea, Phlebobranchia, Cionidae. The record is from RefSeq and is a predicted model, not a curated record.
UUUAAGCUACAUUUAAGCUCGUAAAACCUGUAAUCUAAUAAUGGAUAAUUUUAGCAUCAGAAACAUUCAGAAUAUUCAACCAAUGUGUGCAGAUUAAUUACGCUUUCGUUAUCAAAAUAUACGACGUUAUACUUAAAUAUAUUUAUUGGGAGAUUCACAUCACGAGUGCGUCCGAAUAAACCAAUACCAACAAAACCGAGAGUAAACACUUCUCUCGAAACAGCAUUAAUGACCCAAAGCAGCGACAUCGCCAUGAGCUGUUGUCAAAAUCUGACCUUUCUAUUCCGGUUAAUUCCGGUUUGAUCGAGCCAAACUUGAACUGGAUAAUCGUCGAUGACUCAGACUCAGUGGAACGGUGGUAGCACUUCCGAAAAAAGUAUUCCGUUUUUCGUUGAAUUUCCACGAAAGAGAAAUACCGAUUGAUCUUGGAAUCAACUUUGCGGGUGUUUUAACAAUAGGGAUGAAGCAACGAGAAUGGGACUAUGUUUUGUAUCUAACUCAAGUGCAGUCCGUGGAUUAGAACAUUGCUUAAUAUAGAAGUAUUAAAUUAAGCUUUAAGUAUAUACAUGUCGCCGCAAGAAAACGGAAAUAGUUUGUUAGAAAUAAUCGUGAUGUAUAUUUUAAUAGCAAUAACACAUCGUCAUUAAAUUAGACAUUUUAGAAUUAAUAAAUAGAACAAAAUGUUGUACGUAGGAUCCGAUUCGUGAAAUGAAUUUAACGAUCCAUCACUCCAAUUGAGUGCUGUCUGCCAUAAUUGAGCAAUUUCUCGAACCCCAAACGUUAGAUUGUUUGUACAAUUUAAAAACUCUGCCUUUUGGCAACCAUAUUGAAUAAAUACUCUGUGAAUAUUUACAUUUAAUCUAUACCACGCUUUUACGCAAGAUCGGAUCUUAUUGUUUAAACAAUGUUUAGGUCUUUGCUUCAUCUUUUUUACAAACAACUGAUUACAUAUUAGUUUGGGGUAUAAUCGGUAUAUAUGGGAUAAGACGUUUAUUUUUGCUUUUAUCAUUUGGUUUUAAACAAAGAAUAUUUACAGAAAUGUAUAUAAACGUAUUCUUUCAACCCUAAAAUGGCGUGGUAAUUGUUAAAGUAAAACAUUCGGAAAUAUGGGAUAUUAUAUGCUAUAGUUAUCCCAUUUAUUAAACCCCAUACAUUUUUGUAAAUACUUUUUGUUUCUGUAAAUAUUUAUAUUUAAACUCUACACAGAUUUCAAGUAAGGUAAUAAAAUUGCAUGCAAUUAAGAGUUGCUUCUGUGGUAACAUUAAUACAAGAUCAGAUCAUACACAAACGCACUGCUGAAGCUUUUGGUUGUCUUUUCUAAGAACAGUCCAGAACAGAUAUCAAGAAAGAUAUUAAGAUUUUAUGCAAGAUAUUACGACAUGAAAGCGUUGCUGCUGUUGUAACAUAACGCCGACUAGGGAUUACUGGAUGAUUCACGUGUGGUGCAAGCCACGGGUACGACAACGCUGCAUUGGCUGUUAGCUUAAAUGGUAAAACGCCGUUGGUCGUUACGAAGCGGCCAUUACCGGUUAACCUUUACGAGCGAAUAAAAACUCAGCUAAGGCGUAGAAUUGCGUAAGAAUGCAGCUACUUAGUUCCGACACAGGUUUCAAGUUUAUAUAAAAAUAAACACACUUUUUGUGGGAAUUAUUUAUAUUGGCACUUUAUUGAAUAACUGCAUUUUGUCCGUAUCAGGAUAAGUGGUACAUACAUUUAGUAAAAAAAUCUAUGUAUAGUAAAUUAAAAAGACAUCUAAAAAUACGAAACAGGGUUGUGUUAAAAUGUUUAAAUUUAUACACAUCAGGCACCUCGUAUAUUGUUACCAAUCAUGGAUUACUGUGCGGUAUUUAUCAAUAAAAAUAAUUUCUCACGAAGGAUACAUGCCGUGUCUGUUUAUCCUUAUAUAAUACCGGGGGAUAUGGCCUUGAAUUCAAACCGCUAGAGUUUUUUAGGGUAAUCGCAAGGGUCAGCUAAGCCUAUGUGCAAUGGCCUAGUCUCACCUUGGACCCACUGCCUGCCUGAUCGCAGUGAAGGCCCUCGUGAGAUGGGCCAUUGCACAUCGGAUUAGCUGACCUUUGCGAUUACCCCAAAUGUGGGUAACUCGGUCGUAUAAUUUCUGUUAGUCGGGACUGCGAAAAAA